Molecule: long non-coding RNA, 522 nt
Organism: Gracilinanus agilis (Agile Gracile Mouse Opossum)
Lineage: Eukaryota; Metazoa; Chordata; Mammalia; Didelphimorphia; Didelphidae
Exons: 4
Source: RefSeq, a predicted model, not a curated record
AGUCUUUAAGUAAUCGCCUCCUGGUGCGCUCAGUCUUUUUUCUUUUGUGGGCUUCUGGUUUUGCAGUAAUGCAAAACAAGGUGGACCCGCCUAUGGAGGCCAUUCCCUCGGCUGAUACUCCGUGGUGGUCUCGGAAGGGAAGGCGUGAGUAGUCCAAGGGGCCUCUCCACGCCAUCGACCUCUGGAGUAUGGGUUGAGCUGGCUAAGAUGUAAUUUCUCCCAUUAUCGGCAGGGGCACGUAUGCCACGCAAGCAGUAUGACCCUUGGUUGCUGGCAUUCAGAUCCAUGAAGCCGAAGGCACGUGUAGGGAGUAUAAGCAACAGAUUCUACUUAAACACAGGAAAGGGUCCUAACUUGCUUGUGGUACAAAGGUGAAGCUGUUCCAGACCCAGGAAACAAAGGAUUAUGUGGAUCAGUGAUCAAAUCAGGUGGCAAGCACUUGGAAGUUUUUUCCAUUCUUGGAUCCCUGUUUAUAUGCACAUGUUCUUAAAAUUAAUAAAAAGUCUUUUUUUUUCGUAAUAA